UCCUCGUGUGACUCUACAUGAGAACAAAGCUCUUCACAUUGUUCACAUUAAGAGAUCCUGGGCUCUGAAAAACAAGAAGACUUUCUCACUAAAGAUGACUUUUACUUUCUUUGGGCAUCUUAAUUCCAUUCUUUGAUCUGGAAAGUGGGCUCUGUCACUCUUGGCUUGUACCAAUGCUUUUGUUGAGCUUACAGACGUGAUAGCACCUUUUCUUUUUUUCCCAGGCUUUUUCUUUUGUCUCAGAACUCUGCUGCCUUGGAGAUUUUGGUUUUCUCCUUAGGCUGUGAUUUUUUAUCUUCAAAGUUGUGAAACUUGACUCAAUUGUUGAUGCUUGUUUUUUGCCCUGGUGCUCCACUGCUCGAUCCCAAGGCAUUGUAAUAAACAUCCUCUUGGCCGUGAAAUGGAAACUUGUCUAACAAUGAUGUUCGUUUGUUUACUUAUUUAUUUUGGCUUCAUUUUUGCCUAGGAAACCAGAAUGGAAAUUUUGAAUUCUGAUAGAUGUUAGGGAAUUCUAAUGAAUAAUAGCAUCUCUUAUGAACACUUACCAUGUGCCUAACACUACCGAUUUUUUGGUAAAUGGGUUCAAGUCCUCGAGGGCCAUUCUGUGAGGUAGGUGCUAUUAUUAUCCCCAUUCCACUAUUGAGGAAAUUGAGGCUUUAAGCAGUUAGACAACCUGCUCAAAGCUAUAGAGUAGUGAAUGAUAAAGCUGAGGUUCAAACACAGGCUUGUUUGACCAGUCUGGAUUCUUAACCACUAUCCAGAAUGUUCUUUGGCAUUUCAAAUCAUUCAUAAGCAAUACUUCCAAGAAUGUUUUAAAACAGAAAAAAUUAGGGCGCCUGGGUGGCUCAGUUGGUUAAGCGACUGCCUUCAGCUCAGGUCAUGAUCCCGGAGUCCCUGGAUCGAGUCCCGCAUCGGGCUCCCUGCUCGGCAGGGAGUCUCCUUCUCCCUCUGACCCUCCCCCCUCUCAUGUGCUCUCUCUCAUUCUCUCUCACACAAAUAAAUAAAUAAAAUCUUAAAAAAAAAAAAAAAAAAAACAGAAAAAAUUAAACCAGAGUAAAGAGCUACUUACUUUGUGGUGAAGUAAAAAGAACACUGGGAUAGGAGUCAAAAAGCUGUGUCCUUACUAGCUGAGCUGGUCCCCAGGCAAGUCAUCAAGUCAGUCACCAGCUCCUCCUUUCACCUUUGUUUUUCCCAUCUGUGAAAGUGCCAAUCUUCCAGCAUUCUUAAAAAAACAAACAAACAAACAAACAAAGCAAACCUUGACUUCCUCUUUACUUUUCCCUAUUCUAAGAUAGAUGAAACCUGCCACUCCCAUAUCAUUUGUGAGAGUUAAGGCUGGUAUCAGAUGAGUCAGUUGGCACAGAGCUACUUGUCCUGAAAGAGAAGGAAAAAGCAAUGAUUAAAUGCCACCCCCCCACUCUGGCAGAGAGUGAAGCUAAGCAUAAUGACUCAAGUUCAAAGCCUAGAAAAUCUUGGCAGAAACAGGGUGGAUAUAUUCUUCUGUCUCCAAUUUUCUCUGUAUAUUCAUCGUUGACCAUAGAAAUGUGGAUGAAUGUGUGGUUCAUCAUGUAAUUAUCAUCUCAAACUUGCUCAAGCUGUUGUGGAGUAAUAAUGCUACCAAACUGUCCUUGGCCAGUCAGAAAUGAGACCUAGCCAUAGAGAAGACUUGCUAACUUUCUCAAGCAUGUAUCUUUAUUCUAUCACAUAGCUUUUUUCUGUCCUAUAUGUUCUGGACUGAAUUGUGUCCUCUUAAAAUUAAUAUUUUGAUGUCCUAAUCCCCAGUACCUCAGAAUGUGACUAUAUUGGGAAAUAGGGCCUUUAAAGAGGUAAUUAAAGUAAAAUGAGGUCAUAUGGGCUCUACUCCAAUGUGACCAGUGUCCUCAUAAGAAGAGAUUAGGACACACAAACACAGAUGAAAGAAUGAACAACCAUGCAACCAUGUGAGGGUACAGGGAGAAAGUGGCCAUCAGCAAGCCAAGGAGAGAGGACUCAGAAGAAAACAAACCUGUUAACACCUUGCUCUUGGACUACUAGCCUCCAGACCGUGAGAAAAUAAAUUUCUGUUGUUUAAGCACCCAAUCUCAAUCUCCGGUAUUUUGUUAUGGCAGCCCUAGCAAACUAAUAUAGCAUAUUUUAAAUCUAGGGUUGUUUUAAAGUUUCUCCUUUACGUCUCAGAAUUUCCUUACCUUUAUACAUUUCUUUUCUCCUCUGCUUGAGCUUGACUUUAUUGCCCCAAUAAGUUGUACUUAGGUAUCAAGCUUCAUCCAUUUCACAGAUGCUUGAAGAAUACCCAGUGUUAGAUUAAUAUUGACUGAUACUUUGUGUUUUGGGGUUAUUUUUUAAAGAUUUAUUUAUUUAUUUGAGAGAGGGUGCACUCAAGUAGGGGAGGGGCAGAGGGAGAGGAGAGAGAGAAUCCCAACCAGACUCUGCGUUGAGUGUGGAUCCCAACACGGGGCUUGAUCCCACAACCCAUGAGCUCAUGACCUGAGCUGAAACCACGAGUCAGACGCUUAACCGACUGAGCCAUCCAGGUGCCCCUUGACCAAUACUUUGAAUAUAGCUUAAAUUUCUACACCUAUGUAAAAUCCUUAUCACUGACUUACCUGUGUGUAUCAGUUCUUAAAUAGAUUAUUUAAUUUUACAACUAGUAUAAUAAAACACUGAACUAUAUACAACUGAUUUCUCAUCCCUCACCCAUACCCCCGGAAUUUUUCUAUUUUUUCUUACUUCCUAUCUUGAUAAUAUGGCAGCAGCAGUGCCAUCCAUCCAGACUCAGAUUCUCAGUCUAAGAAUUUAGGGAGUCCUUCUUGUUUCUUUUUCUUGCCUCACACAUCCAACUCCUUAUCCACUUCUGUUCAUUUGUACUUUAAAACAUCUAAUAGGAAAAUGCUUGUAAUAUUAUAGUUUAAAUUUGAACUUAAAAUUUUAUAUUUCAAAAACUAUAAAAAUAUAGUUUAAUAUUUGAAUUUAAAAUUUGAAUUUAAAAUAUCAAUAUGGACUUAUGAAUUAAAGAUACAUAUGUAUGUGUAUCUAUCUAUCCAUCCUAGCUCUGUCUACUAAAAGAAUAUAGAAGCAAUGACAUCCCUUGAGCAAUAAACACAUCUAGAAUCCACAUUUUGGUUUCUACUCAUCAUUACAUACUAAAAAAAAUAAUGAUCUUUGGAGAAAUAGCUGAUUCUAAUUGUUCAGCAGGGAAAUUACAAGGUGGAGCUUAGGUUAUCUUGUUAGGCCUAAAACCAGGAAGUGCUCAGUGAUUUAUAGGGGCAUGUUAAAAGGACCCAAGAGCUAGUUUUCAAGGGCUUCCACUAGACAGAUUUGGACAAUUUGAAGCAAAUUGAUUGCAAAAUGUUUAAUAUUUAAAAAUCUAUGAGUCUGAGUCUGUGGUGAUACCCAAAAAAAGUAAUGGAAAGAAGAAACAAAAUCAUUUGCAUCAUUAAAGGUAACAAAUUCUUACUCUGAAAUUGAUAGUAAAAGGGAAAGAACUAAAUAUUUACCUGGCCUUCUUAGUAAGAACUUUAUAUCAUCCUAGUUGAUGAGGGAAAACUCAUAUUUAGAAAACAAGGCCAAAGAAGGAGUGAUGGUAUUUGAAAGUCACUAUUUUGCAACCCCCAAUGAAAUAAUUGAUUCAAGCAAGAUCAUCACUGGUGAGAGAGUAUUGCAGAACAGGAUAUUCACACAGUGACAAAGUGUCAUCACACGGGUGAUUUACCGGUUGCAAAGGAACAAUCUGGUAGUCACUACUUUGACUAUACCAAUUAUAUGGGAUAACCUUGAAUUGUGUCCUUCUGACAUGAUGUGGAUGAAAUUCACAAAAUCAUUUAUGAACUAUCCUUGCCAAAAGUGUUAAAUUGAAUCUAAUUAAGCCUUUAGACCUAACCUUAAAUAUAUAGGAAUUACAGGGAAUCACAGAACAACCAAAUUACAGGGAAACCCACAGAGGAAUCCCUAACGUGAGAUAUUCUAUAAGACAACUCUUUUGGAUUCUUCCAAAAGUCAUUAUCAUCAGAGGAAAAAGAGUAGGAAGAACUAUUCUAGAUUAAAAGAGACUAAGGAGGGCGCCUGGGUGGCUCAAUUGGUUAAGCGACUGCCUUCGGCUCAGGUCAUGAUCCUGGAGUUCCUGGAUCGAGUCCCGCAUCGGGCUCCCUGCUCGGCAGGGAGCCUGCUUCUCCCUCUGACCCUCUCCCCUCUCAUGUGCUCUCUGUCUCUCUCAUUCUCUCUGUCUCAGAUAAAUAAAUAAAAUCUUAAAAAAAUAAAAAAUAAAAAAUAAAAUAAAAGAGACUAAGGAGACAUAACAACAAAAUACAAUAUAUGAAUCUUGAUUCACCUGUGGCUUGGUAAAAACAGCUAAACAUUUUGGGGACAACUGGAGAAAAUUUCUAUAUGAGCUAUAUGUUAAAGGACAUAUUAUGUGGUAUUAAGAAACUAAUAUUAAUUUUCUUAGAUGUGAUAAUGACAUUGUGGUGAUAUAUAAGAAAAUUCUUAUUUUUAGGAGAUGCAUAUUUGAGUGUUAAUAUUUAGGUGUGAAGUGUCACGACAUCUACAACUUUCUUUCAAAAUACACACACAUGUAUAUGUGUGCAUGUAUAAAAAUAAAGCAAAUAUGUCAAAAUGAUAACAGUUGUUGAGUUGAGGUUGAAUCUGGGUAGAGGUUGGUAUUUACUGUGCUAUUCUUUCAAUUUUUGUAGAUGUUUAAACAUUUUUAUUUCAAUAAUUUGAGGGGUGCCUGGGUGGCUCAGUCAGUUAAGCGUCUGACUCUUGGUUUCAGCUCAGGUCAUGAUCUCAGGGUAGUGAGAUCAAGCCCCGUGUCAGACUCCGCGCUGAGCAUGGACCCUGCUUAGGAUUCUUUCUCUCUCUCUCUCCCUCUGCCCCUCCCCCGCAGCCCCCCCCCCCCCACUUAUGUGUGCUCUCUUUCUCUCUCUUAAAGAAAAACCAACAAAACCAAUUUAGGAACAUUUUUAUGUCUCUACUCCUUUUAUGCCUCUGCCCCUUGCCUCCAUCCUCAUCACCACUCUUCUACUACAAGUCCUUAUCUCUUUCCUGAACUAUUGUGGUGGCUUCCUAAGUAGUUUCCAUAUUCAGUCUAAAUGCCCCCCAAGCCCCUGCCAAAGGCAACCUCCUAAAAAUCAGCUCUUACCAUUUUCCUACCCUGCUUUACCCUCCCCCUCACCCACAUGGUAAAAUCUGAAAACGCUUGGCAAGCAAGGCUCCAAACUUGUCACACCACAUUCUCAUUCAAAGCUUUCUCCUGUCACCUUAUCACCUGUUCUCUGCCAGGGUUCACAACUGCAAAUGCUCAUGGGGAGGGCUGGGAAUAAAACAAUAGAGGGUGUGGGGUCUGGGAUGGGCUGGGGAGAAGGAUCUCCCUCUAAAGGGGUGUAGCUAUUACUCAAGAUCAGUUGAAUGUGGGCCCAGUGUUGCUAAAUCUUUGCAUUUCCCUUUUUUUUUUUUUUAAGAUUUUAUUUAUUUGAGAGAGAGAGAAUGAGCAGGGGGAGUAACAGAGGGGCAGAGAGAAGCAGACUCCCCACUGGGCAGGGAGCCCGAUGCGGGACUCAAUCCCAGGACCCUGAGAUCAUGACGUUAGCCGAAGGCAGACCCUCAACCAAAUGAGCCACCCACAUGCCCCUAUAUCUUUGCAUUUCCAUAUUCCAGAACUUGCUCCAUCCCUUUCUCUCGAAAUCCUGUGAAUCGUCCAAAACCCAGCAAGCAAGGCCCUUCACCUUCCCUCAUCCCCCCGUGCAGAGCCAGCGCCCCCUCUGUAGAGUGCCUGACCAUUUGUAUGAGCCUCCAUUCUAGGACCUGUAAUGGAAUUACAUAUUUGGUCGUCUGUCUUCUCCCGCUGGGUUCUGAACUCCCAUGAUAAAGAGCCACAUUUUACUUAUUGUCUCCCCAGUGCUGCUCAUGGAGUCUGAUGUAUUUCAGCAUUUGAUGAGCAUCUGUUGACUGAGUUGCAGCCUGUUAAAAGUAAUGCUGCAGAAGAAUUUAGGACAUGGCUUCUAUGGCACCCCGUUGGAAUUGUACUUAAGAAUGUCUAUGAGUCGGGGCGCCUGGGUGGGUCCCUCAGUCAAGAGUCUGCCUUCAGCUCAGGUCAUGAUUCAGGGGUCCUGGGAUCAAGCCCCGCAUCGGGCUUCCUGCUCAGUCGGGAGCCUGCUUCUCCCUCGCUCUGCCUGCCGCUCCGCCUGCUUGUGCUCUCUCUCCCUCUGUCAAAUAAAUAAAUAAAAUACUAAAAAAAAAGACUGUCUAUGAUAUCAAUAAAAGAAAAAUUAUUAUUAUAUUCCAAGUAAGGUUGUCUUCUGGGAUCAUUUGUCUAUUGUAGGAAGUCAAGUAAAUAUGUUUAGUUUUUAAGAAAUAAUUCUGAAAAACAGGAUUCUUUCUGACCUUUUAACCCAAGAGAAUGAUAGUUGGGUUUUGUUUCAAGGAUUGCCUUUCUAGGGCAACAAUGGCCAGGAUCAGGCCAAUGAUCUAGGCAGCUUUGGUAACCUACAAAUAAUCUAAACCUGCUUGAAUUCUUAUAAACAGAACUGAGUGGCAGGGUGUGUGCUGAAUCAAGUCACCUCCUCUCCUUGGGAUAUCAAUUUUUAUCAGUGCCCUACACACCUAAUUCUCUCCUUUUUGUCUGUUUCAUGCCUUUCUUUCCUGCAAUGCUUUCUUUUAUUUAGCAUUCCUUUCAAAAUCUAGCCGAAAACUUAACUUCUUCCAAGGAGUCUCUGAUAAAUGCCACUGGUCUUGAUUCUUCCUUUAUUUUAUAUAGUGCAUUUAUUCUUUAUGUUGGGUAUGGCCUAUUCCAGUGUAGGCUAUAUAAUUAGAAUAAUUAUACUAUUAAGAAUAAGAUAGUAAUAGUCAUUUGAAGGCCAUUGUUAAAGGUAACAGCUUCCCAGACUCCUCCCUGGAGAUUCUGAUUUGGUGGGCCUGGCAUGAAGUGGGGGAUGGGUACAGGUAUUGUAUCUGUAAAAACAGCCACAGAUAAUUCUUGUUAUCAGGCAACUUUGGAAAACAUUAGCCUCAUCUUUAUAAGCUUGGAUCUGGGGUCAGACUGAUUAGGAUUUUAGGCAGGGCUCUAAUUCUUGUAGCUCUGUGUAACAUUAGGCAAGUUACCGUGUCCAAUAGCCAUGCUUUUUAAUCCAGAAAAUGGGGAUGAUAAUCACUAUUAUAGUCCUAUUCUGGAGGAAUCAAAUGAUUCAUGUAGACAUUAGCACAGUGCCUGGAACAUUCUAAGUGCUCAGUAAAUGUUGACAAUUAUGGUUAUAUUUGCUUGGUUGUGUAAGUAUGAUUCGAGGUUUGGAUGAUGAUUUCUUUGGUUCUUCUGUAACACUGUGGUGAUUUAGGGUAGGGUGACCCGGAAGAUUUUACUCUAGCCAGAGAUUAUUGUCAAGAGCCUACUAACCUCUGCCAAUUUUUUAUUGCCCCAACAAGGCAUCAUCCUUUGUUCUCUUUUAAUUUUAUGUGUCAGCUCCAUUAAAUUAUAGAAAGGUCUUUGAGGCCAUUGACCUUGUCAUCUACUUUUGUCACAUAGUAGAUCCAGUAUCCUGCAUGAUGGGCUAUCAGCAGAGAGCACUAUCUAAUAGAAUACACAUUUAUUUCAUGGCAUUAUAGAACCAUCAUUUCUUACUUAGGUUAUGAUAGCUCCUAGCGUGUCUUGGGCUCUUCUAUUCCUGCUACCUUCCAAUCAGUCCUCACACAGCACCAAAAUGAUCUUUUCUCAAUGUGAUCACAGAAUGUCAUUCCCUUUUGAAAUUUCCCAGCAUUUCCCACUGUAUUUAGAAUAAAAUACAAACUCCUUACCAUAGCUUUGAAAGUGCUACCUGACCUGGGCUGGAUUGUCUGUCUGACCUCAUUUCCUGUCAUUCACUAUGUAAGUCAUUACAUUCCUAUAAAUUUGCUGUCCCCUGCCUGGACUGUCUUUUCCCUAGAUCUUCAUGUCAUUCAGCCCAGAUGUCACUUUCUCAGAGACCUUCCUUCACCUCCGUAUCCAAUAUUUUUUCCUCUCAUUAGUUUCUGUCCAUUUAUCCUGCUUUAUUUUCUCCAGAUUAUUUCCACUAUCUGAUAUUGUAUUUAUUAGUAACUGGUAUUAUUUGUUUAUUCUAAACUCCAUGAGAUCGGGUAUCUUGUCUAUCUUAUAUUCUUAGCACUGGGAACAGAACCUGGUACAUUUCAUGUUCUUGGUAGAUAUUUGUCAAAUCGAUUGAUGAAAUUUACAGACAGACUAAUGAACAUCUAUAGAGUUCAGUAGAUUUCAACUUUUUGCAACAGAGGACUCUUUUUUUUUUUUUUUAAGAUUUUAUUUGUUUGACAGAGAGAGACACAGCGAGAGAGGGAACACAAGCAGGGAGAAUGGGAGAGGGAGAAGCAGGCCUCCCACGGAGCAGGGAGCCCGAUGCGGAGCUCGAUCCCAGGACCCUGGGAUCAUGACCUGAGCCAAAGGCAGACGCUCAAUGACUGAGCCACCCAGGCGCCCCACAACAGAGGACUCUUAUCAAAACAUAAUAUUUGGCUUUAAAUCAUUCAUUUGUGUGUUUGUUUAGUUUUUUUUUGCUUAUCGCUUGACAAGCAAAUAGGAUUCUGUACACAUAACAAGUUCUUAGCAAAUACUUAGCAAUUUAGUGAAUCUUUGUUCAACAAGAGCUACCACCAGGGGGAAAUCCAUCCUCUGACCAGUAGCUGUAGAUGGUAAGAAAAUCUGGCUGGAGGAGAAACAGACCCGAGCUCAGGGGACAAGGGCAGGCAGGGGGCAGCUCCUUGCGGGCUUCUCCACAGCUAUGCAGAGAGAGGCAGUAGGAAGCAGGAGAAGCAGGGCCAUCAUUUGGAGCAUGCGGAGGAGAAGCAGCAAGACAUGCUGCCAGCCUGGGCUGUGGUGAAAAGCUGCCUGGCCUGGAGCAGCCCUGGGCCAGCGGCUGCAGCACUGAACACAAGAUGGCAGUGGGUGCGGUGGGAGCAAUGGUGGUACCCAAAGAACAACAUCUCAGAGAGGUACCGACGUGUAAAGCCGCCUCCCGCCGGGGCUAAGCCAUGAGGGCUCGGGAAGGAGGCAAUGAAUGAGUGCAGUGACAAGCAAGUGGCAGUGAAGAGGGCAUUUGACUCCUCACUCUCUCCCAGGUGACAGGAAGGGAUUCGGGGACAUGGGAUUCCAGCAGUUGAGCAUGUGCGAUCUUGGACAGAACUAGUGGUUUUGUUGUUAUUUGGGUUUUAUUUAUUGAUCUUUCAGUAUCAUCUUCAGGGAUUAAACAUAACUAGAGAUGACAGAGAUGUUGGAAAUAACAAGCAAGGACUUUAACACAGUUCUUAUAAAUGUGUUUGAGGAUUUAUAAGAAAAUAAAGGCUCACAUGAGUAGAGGAGAGGACUCACUUGAGAACUGGAAACAAUGAAAGAAACCCAAUUAGAAAUUCUAGAACUGAAAAAUAAAAUAUCUGAAAUGAAAAAAAAAAAAUCCCUAGAUGGGCUUAACAGUAAAUUGCAUUCUACAGAAGAAAAAAAAUAGUGAACUCGAAGAUAGGGUAACGUAAACUAUGCAAACUGAAGCACACACAGAGAAAAAGGGCUAGAAAAAAAUGAACAGAGUCUCAUUGACUUGUAGGGGAGUAUGAAGUAGCCUGACAUUUGUGAACUGGAGUUCCAGAAGAAGAGGAGAGGGUGACUGGGAUAAAUAAAUAAAUAAAUAAAUAAAUAAAUAAAUAAAUAAAUAAAUAAAUAAAUGUUGGGUUUUUUUUUUUCCAAGAAAAAUAGCUGGAAUAAAAUCCAAAUUUGAUGAAAAUUGUUAACCCAUGAGUUUUAUAAGCUCAACGAACUACAAGCAGGAUAAAAAUGAAGAAAACCACUUUCAGGUACAUCAUAGUCAAAUAUCUGAAAACCAAGGGCUGAAGAGAAACAUCUUAAUAGCAGCCAGAGGGAAAAACCUCAUUCUGCACAAGACCUUAUGGGAGCAAUCAUCUGACUUCUCUGCAAGCCAAAAGACAACGCAAUAACAUCUUUAAAGUGCUGAAAGAAAUAAAACCUGUUAACCUGGAAUUAGAAAACUAGUGAAAAGAUCCUUCAAAGAUGAAGGGAAUAAGAAGGAUGAGAGCAAGGGCAAGGACGAAAGAGAGAAAGAAUGAAAAAGAAAACAUUGCCAAAUAAACAAAAGCUGAGAGAAUUUGUCGAUAGUAGACAUGUACUUUAAGACAUGUUAAAGUCUUCAGGGGUGAAGGAAGUGAUACCAGAUGGGAACUCAGAUCAACAUGAAAAAUGAAGAGUACGGAAAUGGUAGAUCUGUGGAUCAAUAGAAAUUUGUUUUUCCUUGCUUGUUAUUGAAUGAGUGUCACUCUUAAUUAUGGAGUUAAGUUCUCAGUGGACAUUGCAGUUUUCUGGGAAUCAGGGAAUCUGGGGCCUGGUCCAUUUCUGUGACCUUAAAUAAGUGCUUUUAAUCUCUUACCUUGGUUGGAUCAUGGGCCAAGUAGAAUUCUAAUACUUGAUAUUUUUCUCUUUUUGGUAAGCAUUUAAUAAAUGUUUCCUUUUAUCACUGCCAAACACCUCACAAGGGCUAUCUACCCAUUGCGUCUCAAAUUUAGUGUGCAUCAUAUGAAUCACCUGGAAAGUAUGUGAAGUCCUUUUCAGCCCCUACCUGCUGGGUUGGGUGAAGCAAUCCUUCAGGAAAGUCACCUUUGCUGUCCCACUGGCUAUUUCCUCAGAGUUUCGUCAAAAUUCACACUAGAAAAAGAGGAGAGCAGGAUGCUUCCAGGAGAGGAUGAAUACUGGCCAGGUCAUGAGGAGGAUAAACCCCUUUAAGUCUGUAUUUUAAAAUCUCAUUAAGCUUCACUUUUUAUGAAGUAAUAAUUUGAAGAGAUAGAUUUCUUUUUAGAAAGCAAGUUGUGAGGCACUUGGUGGUUAGUUCACCCAGGAGGAUGUUGAAAAUUAUAUUUGAAUUGUCAGUAAUUCCAGAGCGAAAUGCAGAUACUAAAGAGUGAGUCUGUAAUUGAAAUCCCUAGGCAAAGAAAGACCUUUGCUUCCUCCCAAGGUCAUCUGGUAUUGGAGUAAGGAGGUUUGAAGAAAAUGUGUCAUUGAUGAUUUAAUAAUAUUUGACAUGAGAGAUUGCACUUCUGUAAUUUUAAUUUUUUUACAUAGAAAACGGAAACUGCCUUAAAUCUGCUGGUGACAUAUUUGGGUUAAAAUUGCUGUGAACAACAUUCCAUACACUUCCUAAUUCCCUCAACAUCCCCGUUAAAAUAUAUGUUUGCAUUGUACUUUAAAUUUAUAUUUCCUUUGGACAUUCUCAUGUUUUGUAAGAAUAGAAAGCUUGUUGGAGGCUUCUCUAUGAUGGGAAUAGAAACCCUGUUAAUAUCUGAAUCAUGCUGAGCAUAAAAAAGAAAAUUGGGGCCAUCUUCACACUCAGUACCCUUUCCUGGCAUAGAAUGCUGGCAUAGAAUGACAGAGUAUUGAUAUAAAAAGGACUGCUUUUUUUUUUUUAUUAUUCAAAGUGUUCCUAAGUACCCUAGUCCUUCAUCUUUGGAAAUAUUGUGGCUUUCAGGGUCACUGGCUGUGUGUCAUAUCCCCAUAGAGAGCACACCUCAUAAACUGGAUAUUCUUUGCAUUCUCGGUGUUGUUCAUGGCUGUCUUACCUCAUGAGCUGUAUGACACCUUUCAUUUUAAAAAGGCCCUCAUGUUUGUGAUGACGGUGUAUCAAGUUAUUGGGUCUGUAGCUGGGCUUGCUGCCGUCCACCGGCUUGAGCUCGCAUGAAAGUGGACACAGUUGUCAGUGUCAUGAUUCAGGUUAAACAAAAUUUAAAAACCGGUGGUAUCCAAAAAACAUCUGGUAGUAGAAUUAUUUUGCUUGUUUGUUUUGAACUAAUGAAGCAGAAAUACAUGCUGUGAAUAAUGACCGUGAAUAGGGCGCCUGGGUGGCUCAGUUGGUUGAGCAACUGCCUUCAGCUCAGGUCAUGAUCCUGGAGUCCCUGGAUCGAGUCCCGCAUCGGGCUCCCUGCUCGGCAGGGAGUCUGCUUCUCCCUCUGACCCUCCCCCUCUCAUGCUCUCUCUCUCUCUCUCAUUCUCGCUCUCAAAUAAAUAAAAUCUUUAAAAAAAAAUAAUAA
Molecule: long non-coding RNA, 12054 nt
Organism: Mirounga angustirostris (Northern elephant seal)
Lineage: Eukaryota; Metazoa; Chordata; Mammalia; Carnivora; Phocidae
Exons: 2
Source: RefSeq, a predicted model, not a curated record